This 468-nucleotide ribosomal RNA is filed under the name uncultured bacterium. Its description in RNAcentral is "partial 16S ribosomal RNA". It matches the Rfam family "Bacterial small subunit ribosomal RNA", at positions 28 to 507 of the family's 1533-position model. The record is from RNAcentral.
GACGAACGCUGGCGGCAUGCUUAACACAUGCAAGUCGAACGGAAAGGCCCUGCGUUUUUGUGGUGCUGGAGGGGCGAACGGGUGAGUGACACGUGAGUAUCCUGACCUUGACUUUGGGAUGACUUCAGGACACUGGGGCUAAUACCCGACAGGAUCUCCUGCUGCAUGGGGGGGGUUGGAAAGUUUCGGCUGUUGGGGAUGGACUCGCGGGUUAUGAGCUUGUUGGUGGGGUAGGGGCUUUCCCAGGCUUUGACGGAUAGCCGGCAUGAGAGGGUGACCGGGCCCAUUGGGCCUGAGAUACGGCCCAGACUGCUACGGGAGGCAGCAGUGGGAAACAUUGCACAAUGGGCCGAAGCCGGAUGGAACGACGCCGCGUGCGGGAUGACGGCCUUCGGGGUGUAAACCGCAUUCGGUUAAGACGAAGCGUGAGUGACGGUAAUGGGUGAAGAAGCACCGGCUAACUACGUG